Molecule: long non-coding RNA, 379 nt
Organism: Manacus vitellinus (golden-collared manakin)
Lineage: Eukaryota; Metazoa; Chordata; Aves; Passeriformes; Pipridae
Exons: 3
Source: RefSeq, a predicted model, not a curated record
CAAGUGGAGUUUGCUGGAAGCAUGGCCUGUGAAGAAGCUCUGAAGUCAUCAGGUGUCCAUUAGCAGUUGUCUUUGCCGAACAUUGCCUCUUCCUCCAGAGCUGGCAGAAUGUGUGAUGAGAGAGGUCCUCAACCCUUGUAGUGCUCUAUCAUCUAUUUCACCUUCAUUUAUUAAAUAACAGCAGUUUUUAAAGUGUUUCAAGUUUGCCCAGUUGAUUUGGUACUGAAACAGGUUAGAGCAUUUAAAAUAAAAUCAAGGAAACACAGUGCUCACGGACUGAGGCAAUUGGAUUCCUCUGGAACAAUAUGAAACAAGACUUAACAACAAACUGCUGAGUGGUAUCACCAUGUCAAUGGAUUACUUUCUUCCCAACUUCUGG